GAAAAUUUUUAAUCACUGCAAAAACAAAAACCCCUCUAUAACCUUUAGCUAUUGCUUUUCUUUGAAUGUGGUGUCCCUCAAAAAGUUAUUAAUAUGUUGAAACUUAAUACUCAUUAAGGUGGUAAUAAGAGGAGGGCCUUUUGGGAAGUGAUUAACUCAUGAGGACUCCGCCCUUAUGAAUAGAUUAAUACCUGUAUAAAAGAGGCUUCAGAGAGAGUUUGCCCCUCUUGCCUUCCACCUGCCGCUAUAUGAGGACACAGCAGCAAGGUGCCAUCUUGGAAGCAGAAAACAGCCCUCGCCAGACACCAACAUUGGUGGCUUCAGAAGUGAAUAGCCACACUGUUUUCCAAAGUGACUGCAGCGUUUCAUAUUUCUACUAGCAACAUCAUCAUCUUCCUUUUACAGAAGAAGAAACUCAUAUCGCGGAAAAGUGAGGAUGAAAUCCUCUGACCACCCUACCUUUAAAGGUCCUUUAAAGGGAAAGAACUGACAGUGUAAGUGGAAAGAGAGCAAUUGGAAGUAGCAGGAGAGGGAAAAGCCAUUAUCAUACAACUGGUGGGAAGAAGGAAUGUCAAAAACAUCAGUGUGAAAAUAAUUGCAGCAAAAAGCCAGAAAGGCGAAGGAAAAACUGAGAACCACCCUGCAUGACCAUACAUCUCACGUUUAAAUAGCAAUUUAAACAGUUAUUUUUGAAAACAAGAUGACAUGAGGUGUGAUUAUCACGUAAGUAAUGAAACUGACUUAUCCCAAAAACAUACAGACAGCAUGGAUUUUCAUAAGGAAAGUGGUCCUUUUCAGAGGCUGAGAAACUCUGGUCAGAGAAGUUCCUCCAAAUAGCAUCUAUGAUAAGUGCUGUCACUCCUGGAUCUGCGUAUUAAUUGUAGCAAAUUUGGGAUGGUGUCUUAGCUCGGGCUGCUGUAGCCAAAUGCCACAGACUGGGUGACUUAAACGACACUUAAUUUUUCACAGUUCUGGAGGCUGGAAGUCCAUGAUGAGGGUGCUGGAAGUCCAUGAUCUGGGAGCCAGCAUGAUCAGGUUCUGGCGAGGGCUCCCUUCUUGGUUUGUAGAUGGCUGCCAUUGUGCUGUGUACUCACAUGACCCCUUCUUUGUGUGUGCAUGCAGACAGAACAAAUAAGCUCUCUGGUGUCUCUUCUUGCAAAGGUGCUAAUCCCAUCAUAAGGAUUCCACCAUCAUGACCUCAUCUAAGCUUAGUUACUUCCCAGAAGUCCCAUCUCCAAAUAUCACAUUGGGGGUUAGGGCUUCAACAUAAGAAUCAUGAAUUUGGGGUGGGGAGAGAGACACAGUUGAGUCCAUAGCAGGUGGGAAACAUGGACUUAAGGAUCAGAACUGCCUCUUGCUAGCAAAACCUUCCGAAGAGCAAGUAAGCUCACUUCCGUGAGCAGACAGAGGCUCCUGAAGUAACACAGGUGAAAGGUAAGCGGUCCUGAAUUGGGAUGAUGACAGUAAAAGAGGAGAUGGGUUUGAGAUGGAAUAUUCAUGGCUUGCGGACAAAGUGAAAAACGUUUAGCAUGACCACCCAGGUUGGAAGCCUGGUACCUGGGAGAAGGUUGGUGCCUGGCUGGAAAACCAGGAGAAAGAAGCAGUUUGGGCAGAAGGAGGAAAAGGACUUUGGCAACAUGCCCACCUUGGGAUCAUCUUGAGUUUGUGCGGGAAUGUUCUAACGUAAGGGAAAUAUAAAAAUGCCACUUAUAAGGAAGACUGCGGCCAGGUGUGAUAAUUUAUGCUUGUAAUCCCAACACUUUGGGAGGCCGAGGCAGGAAGAUCACUUGAUCCUAGGAGUUCGAGG
Molecule: non-coding RNA, 1807 nt
Organism: Chlorocebus sabaeus (green monkey)
Lineage: Eukaryota; Metazoa; Chordata; Mammalia; Primates; Cercopithecidae
Source: RefSeq, a predicted model, not a curated record